Trematomus bernacchii (emerald rockcod) is the source of this 220-nucleotide long non-coding RNA. RefSeq lists it as uncharacterized. The record is from RefSeq and is a predicted model, not a curated record. The transcript is spliced from 3 exons. Lineage: Eukaryota; Metazoa; Chordata; Actinopteri; Perciformes; Nototheniidae.
UGGGUGGUGUCCGCUCUCCCUGUCUCUCCUCACUAGCCAUGUCCUCUCUUUCUUCACCCUCACUUUCCCUUCUCUCAGUCUCCUCAUCCCUUCUUCCCUCAAUCUUUGAGACUAAUGUCCCGGGGUGCAUCGUGGUGCAGGGGCCCUCCUCUUUUUGACCACAGGGCGAUGCACAAAGAUGCACAAGAACCAGAGGGGGAUUCAAUAGAGCCUGAAUACC